Molecule: transfer RNA, 62 nt
Filed under: Bactericera cockerelli (potato/tomato psyllid)
Lineage: Eukaryota; Metazoa; Arthropoda; Insecta; Hemiptera; Triozidae
Description: tRNA-Arg
Source: RNAcentral
AAUAAAGAAGUAAAAAAAUUACAUUUAGUUUCGACCUAAAAUUUAGAGUUAUCUCCAUAUUU